Molecule: ribosomal RNA, 490 nt
Filed under: uncultured bacterium
Lineage: Bacteria
Description: partial 16S ribosomal RNA
Rfam family: Bacterial small subunit ribosomal RNA
Source: RNAcentral
AUUGAACGCUGGCGGCAGGCCUAACACAUGCAAGUCGAACGGAAACAGGAAACACCUUGCUGUUUCGCUGACGCGUGGCGCGCGGGUGUGUCAUGUCUGUGACACUCCCUGAUGGCGGGGGAUAACUACUGGAAACGGUGCCUAAUACCGCAUAACGUCGCAAGCCCAAAGAGGGGGACCUUCGGGCCUCUUGCCAUCGGCUUUGCCCAGGUCGGAUUAGCUAGUAGGUGGGGUAACGGCUUACCUAGGCCACGAUGCCUAGCUGGUCUGAGAGGAUGACCAGCCACACUGGAACUGAGACACGGUCCAGACUCCUACGGGAGGCAGCAGUGGGGAAUAUUGCGCAAUGGGCGAAAGCCUGAUGGAGCAACGCCGCGUGUGUGAUGAAGGCCUUCGGAUCGUAAAACUCUGUUAGCAGGGAAGAAGAGAGGAAUAAGUAACUAUGUGCGUAUUGACGUUACCCGAAGAAAAAGCCCCGGCUAACUACGUG